Paramormyrops kingsleyae is the source of this 654-nucleotide non-coding RNA. NCBI's taxonomy places the organism in Eukaryota, Metazoa, Chordata, Actinopteri, Osteoglossiformes, Mormyridae. The record is from RefSeq and is a predicted model, not a curated record.
AACAGGAAAAUCAAAUCACAGAAGAGUAUAUGCGCAAAUUCACGCAUCUUAAAAAUGAUUUAAUGCUUUAGUUUGUAUUUUCCAUUUGUUAUUUCCUGCGAAAGAAAAAUAUAUGCUGCAUACUUGACCAUUAAAAUUGUUUUGUGAAUUUCAUGUCAACCGUUUAACGCUCAUUGGUCAGGUGUAACGGAAAAGUUCUACGAUCAUUCGGGUAGACAUCAAACUCAAAUGGCUCCGUUUAAGUUCGGGAUAUUUUAUUUCAGAGACAGCUCUAUUCAUGUCGAAAGUACUGACAUCGUAACACCUCAGUACAGAACGAAGCUUGUCCAGGUGUUAACACGGCCGGACCUCUCAAGUGAAGACGGAUGGAUCGAAGUAUACUUCGUGAAAAGGAAAGGACCACAAAAAAAGGUCGCCGCAAAACUGCUCUUACUAGGAGACAGCUAUAAGGAGUUGCUAGAGAGAAAAAAAGCCUUCCUCAGGAAUGAGGACAUCUGGCCCAUGGCAGUUGAGAGGAGAAGAGCUGCAGUGUGUGAUACCUCUCAUGAUGGAACCCAGGCAAAGAAAAAGAAAAAUAGUAAAACAGCAGAUACCAGUGUCACCUCGGACGAUGAUGAGACAGACAUUGAAACACCACAAGUCUCUUGGACAAAC